UACGUAGGGUGCAAGCGUUGUCCGGAAUUAUUGGGCGUAAAGAGCUCGUAGGCGGUUUGUCGCGUCUGCUGUGAAAUCCCGAGGCUCAACCUCGGGUCUGCAGUCGAUACGAGCAAACUAGAGUGUUGCAGGGGAGACUGGAAUUCCUGGUGUAGCGGUGAAAUGCGCAGAUAUCAGGAGGAACACCGGUGGCGAAGGCGGGUCUCUGGGCAACAACUGACGCUGAGGAGCGAAAGCGUGGGGAGCGAACGGG
RNAcentral lists this ribosomal RNA (253 nucleotides) under uncultured bacterium. RNAcentral's name for it is "partial 16S ribosomal RNA". It matches the Rfam family "Bacterial small subunit ribosomal RNA", at positions 524 to 776 of the family's 1533-position model. The record is from RNAcentral.